AUCAAUGGGUGGGCGACGGUGGGGAGGCUUCGGCCUGCCGGUUCCCUUGGACGCCGGUCUGCAAACCCUGCCGUCUGCCCGCCCACCCCA
Burkholderia glumae BGR1 is the source of this 90-nucleotide non-coding RNA. The record is from Rfam. Lineage: Bacteria; Pseudomonadati; Pseudomonadota; Betaproteobacteria; Burkholderiales; Burkholderiaceae.